Molecule: ribosomal RNA, 514 nt
Filed under: Helicobacter pylori
Lineage: Bacteria; Pseudomonadati; Campylobacterota; Epsilonproteobacteria; Campylobacterales; Helicobacteraceae
Description: partial 23S ribosomal RNA
Rfam family: Bacterial large subunit ribosomal RNA
Source: RNAcentral
AGUGCCGCAGCAAUGCGGUCUCAGCAAAGAGUCCCUCCCGACUGUUUACCAAAAACACAGCACUUUGCCAACUCGUAAGAGGAAGUAUAAGGUGUGACGCCUGCCCGGUGCUCGAAGGUUAAGAGGAUGCGUCAGUCGCAAGAUGAAGCGUUGAAUUGAAGCCCGAGUAAACGGCGGCCGUAACUAUAACGGUCCUAAGGUAGCGAAAUUCCUUGUCGGUUAAAUACCGACCUGCAUGAAUGGCGUAACGAGAUGGGAGCUGUCUCAACCAGAGAUUCAGUGAAAUUGUAGUGGAGGUGAAAAUUCCUCCUACCCGCGGCAAGACGGAAAGACCCCGUGGACCUUUACUACAACUUAGCACUGCUAAUGGGAAUAUCAUGCGCAGGAUAGGUGGGAGGCUUUGAAGUAAGGGCUUUGGCUCUUAUGGAGCCAUCCUUGAGAUACCACCCUUGAUGUUUCUGUUAGCUAACUGGCCUGUGUUAUCCACAGGCAGGACAAUGCUUGGUGGGUAGUU